UGCUUCAAUGAAUUUCUAUUUUACUCCCCCUUAACUCCAUCUAGCUUCUGCUGCAGCUCCUUAAGGCAUCAAGGGAACAGACUGGAACCUGUCUGUGUGUCCUGCAGUAGGAGCCUGUGCCUGUGUCCCAGCAGUGUGUGGGCAGGGGUACAGUUUUCAGACAGUCACUGCCUGGGUGAGUGGAGAAAAUGCUGAAGCACUGAGAGAAAACCACUCCUGAAGAGCAGCAGAACUUGCCCAGAAGGAUGUUUCAUAGUGCAGCAAUUAACUGAUACACCAGGCUAUCAGGUGCCAAGGGGCUCUUUCCAUGGAAGAGGACAUCUGAAUCCAAGACAUUUAUUUUGCAUCUGAGGAGGUGCAGUGAGAGCCAGAGGUCACUCUUCUCCUGGCCAGUAAAUCUGUGAGAAAGUGGCAAUGAAAUGUUAAUUACCUCCAAAAUUAUCUGCCUCCAGUUAUUGCUAGAAAUGGCAUUGAAAACAACAAAAUGUUGAACCUCAUGCCACUUCACCAAGACUUCAAGACUUUUGACACUGGUGCAAAGGCUUCCACAGCAGAUCUGCACUGCAUGGAGAAGCUUUUCCUUCUGAUGCCUGCUUAUUUGGACAUUAAUCUUCUCAAUGUUUGUGAAAAUCUCUGGAGAAGAGGGAUUCACGUGAAACACAAGGAGGAGAAUGAAGGCACCUCAGUGAUCUCUGAGAGAUUUUAUGCACUCAGGUGACAAGAUUUUCCAAAGUAUUUACAGUAUUUACAAAACUGAUGGCUAUUGUCAGUCCAGAGUUAUCUGUCACGGUUGUAAAGGGAAUUUUGACUUCACAACAAAAGAGUCUCUUCUUUUCUGUGAUUUUUCCCCCCCAUGUCUGUAUGUAUACAUAUAAAAACACAUUUUAAAUUCAUUCCUGUGCUUCACUUUCACAAAGAAGACUCGCUGUCUGUCAGUUCCUGUUGUAGCUGUCUCCAAAGCUCCAGAGUUUUUAUUUGCUUCCUCUGCCAAUGAAUAUGUAGAAACUCCAUCAAAACCCAAGGAGUCACACCUGUGUAAAACUGGUUCCAACAUUGCACCUAUUGUGUUUAGAAGUCAAAUGUACACAUUUGCAGAAUCCCAAGGAAGUGAAACAUUUGCUUUAAAUGGAUGCAAGAGAGGUCAUGGCAAUGUCUGUGAGAUCCUAAGCCUGAGUUUUUUGCUGCUCUUUUUAACUCUUCUGAAACAAUCCAUGAAAAUCAGGAUGCAACAAGGACUCUUUUAGCCCCAAGCAGGGAAAAAGACUUUGUAAAACAAGAACCAAGAGUGAUGUUUGGAAUCCACAACUUAGUCUUAUUAAAAAGAACAGGAGGGGCACAGGUGGGCAGAAAAUGGUGGUGCCUUCAGGUGGGAGUGUGGGAAUUGUCUCCUAAAUUAAAGUUUUCCUCACAAUCGUGAAAUGCUUUAGUAAUUUUUAAGGCACUAUCCUCAAACUUAUUAAUUUACACUUACAUUGAGGCGCCCCUUGCACCAGAAUUGGGUGGUGUCUGCAAAUUACAGCACCUUACAGUUCUGCUGCCUUCAUGUGCCUCAUUCCCACAUAAAUGCCGUGUGCCCUCCCACCCCUGUGCCAUGCAUAUGUAAAAUCUGCUUUAAUUCCAAUCAACCCCUCAGCAAAUGCCAUUUUAGUCCUGAAUUGUGCCCAAAGGAUUGAGGGGAUGUGCUCUGCAGUGCUGUGCAGGCACACAGAGACAAACCCUGCAGUGCUGCUGCAGCAUCACCAGGCAUCUGGAAUCCAACAGGAACAUGAAAUAUAUAUAUAUAUAUAUAUGUUUUUCAUUCACACGGUGGAGAAAAAAUGGGUUAUUUAACAGAAAAAAUCCAACCCCACAAAGCAGUUUUGUGGAAGAAAGCAGGUGGUCUCCAAUUUAAAAGCACUUGCAAUUUUGGUUGCUGUCUUACAUAUGUAGGUGGGGGAGCAUAAAACACUGGCUGGAUUUUUCUGAUCAUUUCCCUUGCUAACAUCCAAGCAAAACCAAAGUGAAUUUUAGCAUCUCACGCUGCAUCUUUUAAAAGCUCUUCACAGAUGUAUUCCUUAACAGUACAAAAACACUUUUCUUAAUUCUCUUAAUUGCUUGGAAUUGUUGUCUGUGGAAGUAAUUGGUGAGUAAAUUGUUUUAGCUGGAAAUCAAUGUCAUGCAGCCAAACCAACAGAUUGUAGGGGCGAAUAACAAAAUUCAAUUCAAACAAGCAGGAAUAAGAGGUUUUAUGCUACUUAUGUAUUUUUGAUCAAAAUAAACUACCUGAUGGUGCACAGGAAGGGAGUGUGGGGUAACAGGAUGGAAGGAAAAUAUCUGUUCUAGCCAUCCAUCUACUCUAAAGUCUGAACUUUUCCAAAUUUCCAGUCGUGAUUAAUUUGCGUGUUUCAUGCUACAAAGGGAUGGAGUGAGCAGCAAACACUCAUAAGGACAAAUGUCUGUUUUAUCAGAACUGCCCUCUGAAAUCCCCUGUUUCCUUUUAAAAAUACAUCAAAACAUGCAUUCCCUUUUUGGUGGUGGUGAACAGUGCACUUCACAUUAAACACAAAAGGAAGAGAUCUCUGCACUGGCAACUGAAACCUGGAUUGAUGGAAAUCAAAAUUCAGUAGAUUGAUAUUGAUAUCAAUAUAUUGACUGAUAUAUUGACAUUGAUCUGUUUGUAUCAGCUGAGAACUGGGAGCAGUGCUGUAAACUGAAUAUUAAAUGAGUUUUCUGCAUGUACUGGGGCUGGGCAGAACACAGGACUGGUUUCCCACUGCUAACUCUGCUGCAUUUGUCCUUCUCACAGAUCUGAUUGACUGAGGCAGUGGGGUGAGCUCAGCCCCCUGCUACAACCCUGUAAUACAAUUUCUCCUGUAACUGCCAAUCUGUAAUCUUAUGGGUAAUUAUAGUUUAAGAGCAUUUUACUUAAGGAAACCAUAAUUAGUGCUGUGAUGUUUAAAUAAGGUUUGAAGGCUUUAUUCGCUGCUAGUAGCUGAUGAUCAGUACAACCUCUAGAAGUCACAGGGAUCUGAAGCAUGGAUAGAUUCAUUUUUCCUGGUCCAUGCCCAAACAAGAGGGAAAAAAACCCCAAAAAAACAAAAAACAAACAAACAAACAAAACCAAACCAAAAAAAACCAACAAAAAAACCCAACAAAAACAAAACAAAAAAACCCCAAAAAAACCCCAAAACCCCCCAAAAACUCCACAACAACAAAGAUAAUCUAAUUCAAGCUUUGACACUGAUGGGAAAAAGAGGGGAGGGAGGGAAUUGUAAAUUCACCUCAGGAAAGUGUCCUGUUGUUGGAUUGCCUAGAGGACAAAAAUUAAAAAGCUCAUUCAUGUCCAGUUAGGGCUUCCUUUAAUUGGCUCAGACCUUGGCCUGCAGGAAGAUCAUCUUCCCAAACCAGGUGUGUGCAUCUGCAGUUUUAUCACUCUUUAGAGACAUUCCCUUUCCCAGCCUACUUCCUACCUUUUAAAAAGUGGAUAUAUAUUAUCUUAGACUGCAUCAUUAUCUAAAGAUCAAGAAACCUCCUUUCCAAUGACACAUUAGAUGUGAUUCAUUGCACCAGCUUUUGAUUAAUUUAAUGUUAAACUAAGCCUGUCCCAGCCUAUGCCAAUCCCUCAGCUGCUUUAUAUGACAGGCAAAAGGGCAAAGGCACUUCCAAAGCCAUUUCCUGCAUUAAUCUUAGAACCCAGGGACUGCAACCAUCAGGACAUUUUGGAGGCCUACCUGUUGCAUAGCAAAAAUAAGGCUUUAGUCCAAAAGCAGUUGUGGUGAAGACAAGUGGAAGUAUUGGGAGGAAAUUAUAAACAGCAGAGGUGAGGGCCUGGGCAAAGUGGAAGGUCUCCUAAACACAGCUCCAAAGCUCAGAGGAUGGUUGGGGUGAGGUUUCUUUUACCCAGACAACCUCUCAAGUUUUUCUCUCCCUCUAUUAGAUGGAUAUUUUUACUGCGGGUCCAUAUUAACAAUGCUACCAGCUGCUUCUCCAGGUGAAAUUAUUGAAAAAAGUUACUUCACCUUCCUUCCUACAUGCCAACACAUGAGCUGAAGGAUUUAGGCUUUGUUUUUCCUGUCACAAGUGAAGACAUCACUAAAGGAAGCAAAUAAUUUCUUCUGCCUCAGCAUUCAGCAGUUUUUACCUUGCAAACAAAGCAAACUGAACCCGGGUCUUGGGUGGAUGAGAAGUUCCCAUAAAAAAAAAAAA
This is a long non-coding RNA of Taeniopygia guttata (zebra finch), 4185 nucleotides long. Lineage: Eukaryota; Metazoa; Chordata; Aves; Passeriformes; Estrildidae. The record is from Ensembl.